UGCCAGCCGCCGCGGUAAUACGGAGGGGGUUAGCGUUGUUCGGAAUUACUGGGCGUAAAGCGUACGUAGGCGGAUUAAUAAGUUAGAGGUGAAAGCCCAGGGCUCAACCCUGGAACUGCGCCCGAAACUGCUAAGCUUGAGUCCGGGAGAGGGUGGCGGAAUUGUCGGUGUAGAGGUGAAAUUCGUAGAUAUCGGCAAGAACAUCUGUGGCGAAGGCGGCCACCUGGAUCGAGACUGACGCUGAGGCACGAAAGCGUGGGGAGCAAACAGGAUUCGAUA
RNAcentral lists this ribosomal RNA (279 nucleotides) under uncultured bacterium. RNAcentral's name for it is "partial 16S ribosomal RNA". It matches the Rfam family "Bacterial small subunit ribosomal RNA", at positions 506 to 784 of the family's 1533-position model. The record is from RNAcentral.